UCUACAAGUGUGACAUCAGCGGUCAUGGAGAGUCUCCAUCCAGCUGGAUCACUGUCACAGGGGAACACACCACCACACCUCCACCUACAUCCUCUGCUCCUACCUCCACCUCCAUCAUUCUUUCUCCAUCACUCUUUUAUCCUGUAAUUCCCAUGUUGUCAUCAGUGUGUGUUGUGGUUCUACUGGUGUUACUGGUUCACAGGAAACCUGAAGCAGAUCAAGCAGAAGUUGGAGAAGAUGACAUCAUCACUCAUGUCAUGUACAACACUGUCAAGAUAACAAAAGCCAAUCUGAUGAAGCAGAGUGACUGAUUCAGUGGACUCAGCAGUGAGACCUGAAAACAUCAGUUAUGGGCAAACAAUCAUCAGAACAAGGAGGCCCAGCAUGUCUUUAUCCUGUCUUCCUUCUCUCACCCCAACCGGUCGC
Molecule: long non-coding RNA, 426 nt
Organism: Haplochromis burtoni (Burton's mouthbrooder)
Lineage: Eukaryota; Metazoa; Chordata; Actinopteri; Cichliformes; Cichlidae
Exons: 5
Source: RefSeq, a predicted model, not a curated record